UGAGGAAUAUUGGGCAAUGCCCGCAAGGGUGACCCAGCAACGCCGCGUGGAGGAUGAAUGUCGUAAGAUUGUAAACUCCUGUUAGAGGGGAAGAAUAGUACCGGUUGGACCGGUAUAUGACUGCACCCUCAGAGAAAGCCCCGGCUAACUACGUGCCAGCAGCCGCGGUAAUACGUAGGGGGCAAGCGUUGUCCGGAUUUACUGGGUGUAAAGGGCGCGCAGGCGGGAUAAAAAGUCAGUGGUGAAAUCCUACAGCUUAACUGUAGAACUGCCUUUGAUACUUUUAUUCUUGAGUUCGGGAGAGAGAGACGGAAUUCCAGGUGUAGUGGUGAAAUACGUAGAUAUCUGGAAGAACACCAGCUGCGAAGGCGGUCUCUUGGUCCGACACUGACGCUGAGGCGCGAAAGCGUGGGGAGCAAACA
RNAcentral lists this ribosomal RNA (422 nucleotides) under uncultured bacterium. RNAcentral describes it as "bacterial SSU rRNA". It matches the Rfam family "Bacterial small subunit ribosomal RNA", at positions 355 to 774 of the family's 1533-position model. The record is from RNAcentral.